GACGAACGCUGGCGGCGUGCUUAACACAUGCAAGUCGAACGGUGAAGCGCCUUCCUUUUUGGUGGGUGUGGAUGAGUGGCGAACGGGUGAGUAACACGUGAGUAACCUGCCCCCUUCUUCUGGAUAACCGCAUGAAAGUGUGGCUAAUACGGGAUAUUCUGGGUCUGUCGCAUGAUGGGUCUGGGAAAGAUAUUGUUUCGGUGGGGGAUGGGCUCGCGGCCUAUCAGCUUGUUGGUGGGGUGAUGGCCUACCAAGGCGGUGACGGGUAGCCGGCCAGAGAGGGUGGACGGUCACACUGGGACUGAGACACGGCCCAGACUCCUACGGGAGGCAGCAGUGGGGAAUAUUGCACAAUGGGCGCAAGCCUGAUGCAGCGACGCCGCGUGAGGGAUGGAGGCCUUCGGGUUGUGAACCUCUUUCGCCAGUGAAGCAGGCCUGCCUCGUUUGUGGGUGGGUUGACGGUAGCUGGAUAAGAAGCGCCGGCUAACUACG
This 492-nucleotide ribosomal RNA is filed under the name uncultured bacterium. RNAcentral describes it as "partial 16S ribosomal RNA". It matches the Rfam family "Bacterial small subunit ribosomal RNA", at positions 28 to 505 of the family's 1533-position model. The record is from RNAcentral.